CCGCCGUCAUGGCCGGGCUGGGGGUCGCCGCGCUCGCCCCGCGCAUGGUGCCGUUCGGCGCGGUCGACGUCGGCCC
This 76-nucleotide transfer RNA is filed under the name Achromobacter ruhlandii. RNAcentral's name for it is "tRNA-Ala". The record is from RNAcentral. Lineage: Bacteria; Pseudomonadati; Pseudomonadota; Betaproteobacteria; Burkholderiales; Alcaligenaceae. RNAcentral also lists the same sequence under 1 other name.